Molecule: unclassified non-coding RNA, 209 nt
Filed under: Hevea brasiliensis (rubber tree)
Lineage: Eukaryota; Viridiplantae; Streptophyta; Magnoliopsida; Malpighiales; Euphorbiaceae
Source: RNAcentral
AAAUUUCUCAGUUAAGAUGGAUAUACAAAGAUUCCAAAAUCUACAGACCUGAACCACCAUUGCAUUAUGUUCAUUAAAACCCCCGAACCGUUGAACAUAAUCUCCCAUUCCAUCACUCUGAGUCACUCUCCAUGCUCAUAGCCUUCAAUCCCCUCCGCCUCUUUUUCGAGCUCUUCUUCUCCCUAACCUCGUACCUCUCCUGCGAUAGA